CGGCAUCGGUAGGUGGCAGGAGAUACCGCGGAAUGCAGAGCCGAGUGCAAGCCUGGCGUGUGCUCCGAAGGCCUUAAACUAAUAAGAAUAAUUAAAAGUGCUUAAGUUGUUGCUGGAGUCAAUAUAACAAUUAUUGCGAUAUGUCGACACGCUUUUAAAAAGGCUGCAGCUUCUAUUCUUCAAGUUGUGGGAGCUUGAAAAAUGCAUUUGUGAGUGAGUUCACUUUGGAAAAAAAAUCACCGAGCCUGCCAGAGCUGUCCACAGGGGAAACUAUGCUGAGACUGUAAACUAUGCAGGCUGAGAGGGGAGUGGACAUAUUUUAAGGGCACAACCUAAACAAAACCCUUCUGUUUCCACGAGCUCUCCCUGGCAGCCCCACCUGAUCCGCCCUUCCCUAGGAAGGACGUGUUUGUGUCUCCAGAGGGCUGCCAGCCCCUCUCAGCACAGCAUCCUGCCCAUCUUGCUUCCUCUCCCUCCCUUCAUUUUGGCUGGGAUCUGGAGCCGAGGCAAAGAGGAGGAAUUUUUUCAGAGAGCAGUACCUUACCUUGCUCUGGCAGGAAGAAACCUGUGUCCAUGCCCAGCUGCAUAUCUUUCCUGUGGUAAAAUAUCUUUUUAAUUUUCCAAAUUAAUUUUUUUCUCCAGUUUUUCUGGGCUGUGGCAAAGCCCUGGCCUGGCUGUGGUCCCAGCUGCUGGCCGAGCUGCCUUCCCAGCCCGUCUCUGGAGCCUGUCUCCUCCAGCCUUUUUGCAUCAACCUUCUGCUGUACCUGGCACAGAUGGAUGAUGGAGGAGAGCUGCCCUGUCUAUGGAAUCUAAAGAAACACUCUCCUGACUCCUGCUGUGAGCCUUCUGCAAGUGUUUUUGUGUUUAAAACUCCCAGCCCCGUGUGCAUCCUAUGGAGAAGUUGUGGCACCCCAGGGGAACCGACACCAAACCCAGUUUGGGUUCCUGGUCAGUCCUCUGACCCAGCAAAGCCAAGCCAGGGACAGCAGCCCUGAUGGAGCUACAAGGGCCAUGGACACCCAUGGCAGAGGGUUCCUCAGUGUCCCCUUGGCUUGGGAAGAGGUGCUGUGCUGUCCCUGUGCUCCCUUCCCAGAACUGCUGCUUGGGCCAUCAGCCCUGAGGCAGCGCUGUGGGGAAAGGAGAAGACAUGGCCCCAAACUGGUACCUGUCCCAUUCUGCUGCUAAACUCCAGCUGGGGCUUUUGACACCAGCUGUCAGCUCUGAUUACCUGUCACUGUUGUAACAACACUGUCAGGCUGCUGGGCUGCCAGUGCUUGGAGGAAUUGGAGAAUUUUUAUGCAGGUUUGGGGUUUUUAAUUUUAUCGAUUAAUUUGGCAGAGUAGUGGAGCAGGGUUUUUUGCCAAGUUUCAAUACACAUUUAACUGCUGAGAAACUUUCUAGAGGAAAACAUUUUACAUUUAUUUAGAAAGAAGAAGCAUUAAAGAGAUUAAAUUUAUCAGGGUCAUCCGAUGUAAGUCAAGAGUUCUUUUCAUGUAAAAUCAAUAUGCGUGAAUUAUACGGACAAAAAUUGGAGGUUAACUCACUCAUUACUCACGUGGUGCUCAGGAUAAUAAAUGUUUGAUGCUGGAGCAUUACUGAUAAUUUAUUAGGCAUGGAGUAAUAGGUAAAACAAAAUGACAGGAAAGGAUGGAGAAGAGAAUUAAUAGGAGAGGGAAGAACGGCAGGGGCCAUACAGGUCAUUGUCAUCUUAUUGAAUUUCAUGUCCAAGCUACCAGUGGCUUAAAAGAGAUGGUGUGAGGCCAUCUGACUUCCAAGGUGAAGGGCUGGCUAAUGGGAAGAGCUGUGGAAGGUGUGGGAGGACAGCCCAGCAUGGGAGGGCUGGUGCCUUGAGGGGCUGAUGUCUGCUAUGCUUGGACAGGGCAGAAAAGGGGGUAUGGAUGGGACAUGGCUUGGGAAGAAGUGAUGCUGCAUCUCGUGCACCAGAGCCAGCAGUGUCUGCACCCAGCAAGGGCUGGAGACUUGAAAUCUGCUUGCCUGCUGCUGAAGGGCUUCUCUGAGGGCUGGGUCUCAGUGCCAUUUCCCUCCUGUCAGCCUGCUCCAUCUGUCACAGUGACGCUUGUCAUGCUGUUGGCACCUCUGCUGCUCAGCCAGGGCUGUUUGACACUGGUCAGAAGCUUCUGGGGAAACGGAGGCUGGGCUGGCUGGUUUGUUAAAUGUGUGAUGAUUGAGUGAGGUUUAUGUUA
Long non-coding RNA from Passer domesticus (house sparrow), 2204 nucleotides. RefSeq lists it as uncharacterized. The record is from RefSeq and is a predicted model, not a curated record. NCBI's taxonomy places the organism in Eukaryota, Metazoa, Chordata, Aves, Passeriformes, Passeridae. The transcript is spliced from 2 exons.